ACAUCUCAACUCUCGUGGUUUCCCAUGACGAGAUUGGACUUUGGGGGUUUUGUUGGCUUAUGUUCAGCUCCCCUUGAAUUUAUUAGCUUCCCAGUGUUUGGUGGCAUCACAGGUGUGAUAAAUAUCUACGCUUGUGGUUGUUUGCCAGAUCUGUCCUCUCCUCGUGGAGGGCUCGCUGGAGCUCAUAGAUGUCUCCUUGGUGGAGACGGUUGUUUGAA
This 218-nucleotide unclassified non-coding RNA is filed under the name uncultured Tomentella. RNAcentral describes it as "sequence contains ITS2". The record is from RNAcentral. Lineage: Eukaryota; Fungi; Basidiomycota; Agaricomycetes; Thelephorales; Thelephoraceae.